CGCGGGGUGGAGCAGCACGGUAGCUCGUCGGGCUCAUAACCCGAAGGUCGCAGGUUCAAAUCCUGUCCCNNCAU
Molecule: transfer RNA, 74 nt
Filed under: Bacillus thuringiensis
Lineage: Bacteria; Bacillati; Bacillota; Bacilli; Caryophanales; Bacillaceae
Description: tRNA-Met
Rfam family: tRNA
About the family: Transfer RNA (tRNA) molecules are approximately 80 nucleotides in length.
Source: RNAcentral